ACGCUUUUUCUUUCACCGGAGCUUGCUCCACCGAAAGAAAAGGAGUGGCGAACGGGUGAGUAACACGUGGGUAACCUGCCCAUCAGAAGGGGAUAACACUUGGAAACAGGUGCUAAUACCGUAUAACAAUCGAAACCGCAUGGUUUCGGUUUGAAAGGCGCUUUUGCGUCACUGAUGGAUGGACCCGCGGUGCAUUAGCUAGUUGGUGAGGUAACGGCUCACCAAGGCAACGAUGCAUAGCCGACCUGAGAGGGUGAUCGGCCACAUUGGGACUGAGACACGGCCCAAACUCCUACGGGAGGCAGCAGUAGGGAAUCUUCGGCAAUGGACGGAAGUCUGACCGAGCAACGCCGCGUGAGUGAAGAAGGUUUUCGGAUCGUAAAACUCUGUUGUUAGAGAAGAACAAGGAUGAGAGUAGAAUGUUCAUCCCUUGACGGUAUCUAACCAGAAAGCCACGGCUAACUACGUGCCAGCAGCCGCGGUAAUACGUAGGUGGCAAGCGUUGUCCGGAUUUAUUGGGCGUAAAGCGAGCGCAGGCGGUUUCUUAAGUCUGAUGUGAAAGCCCCCGGCUCAACCGGGGAGGGUCAUUGGAAACUGGGAAACUUGAGUGCAGAAGAGGAGAGUGGAAUUCCAUGUGUAGCGGUGAAAUGCGUAGAUAUAUGGAGGAACACCAGUGGCGAAGGCGGCUCUCUGGUCUGUAACUGACGCUGAGGCUCGAAAGCGUGGGGAGCAAACAGG
RNAcentral lists this ribosomal RNA (738 nucleotides) under uncultured Bacilli bacterium. RNAcentral describes it as "bacterial SSU rRNA". It matches the Rfam family "Bacterial small subunit ribosomal RNA", at positions 66 to 776 of the family's 1533-position model. The record is from RNAcentral. Lineage: Bacteria; Bacillati; Bacillota; Bacilli.